This 450-nucleotide ribosomal RNA is filed under the name uncultured bacterium. RNAcentral's name for it is "partial 16S ribosomal RNA". It matches the Rfam family "Bacterial small subunit ribosomal RNA", at positions 354 to 796 of the family's 1533-position model. The record is from RNAcentral.
GUGGGGAAUUUUGGACAAUGGGCGCAAGCCUGAUCCAGCAAUGCCGCGUGCAGGAAGAAGGCCUUCGGGUUGUAAACUGCUUUUGUACGGAACGAAACGGCUCUGGUUAAUACCCGGGGCUAAUGACGGUACCGUAAGAAUAAGCACCGGCUAACUACGUGCCAGCAGCCGCGGUAAUACGUAGGGUGCAAGCGUUAAUCGGAAUUACUGGGCGUAAAGCGUGCGCAGGCGGUUGUGUAAGACAGGCGUGAAAUCCCCGGGCGCAACCUGGGAAUUUCGCUUGUGACUGCACAGCUGGAGUGCGGCAGAGGGGGAUGGAAUUCCGCGUGUAGCAGUGAAAUGCGUAGAUAUGCGGAGGAACACCGAUGGCGAAGGCAAUCCCCUGGGCCUGCACUGACGCUCAUGCACGAAAGCGUGGGGAGCAAACAGGAUUAGAUACCCUGGUAGUCC